This 386-nucleotide RNase P RNA is filed under the name human gut metagenome. RNAcentral describes it as "Bacterial RNase P class A". It matches the Rfam family "Bacterial RNase P class A". Rfam says of the family: Ribonuclease P (RNase P) is a ubiquitous endoribonuclease, found in archaea, bacteria and eukarya as well as chloroplasts and mitochondria. Its best characterised activity is the generation of mature 5'-ends of tRNAs by cleaving the 5'-leader elements of precursor-tRNAs. The record is from RNAcentral.
CAGUCGGAUAGCUGCGCCGUGAAAACGGUGAGGAAAGUCCGGGCUUCAAGGAAACAGGAUACCAGAUAACGUCUGGCUGGGGUGACCCACGGGAAAGUGCCACAGAAAAUUACCGCCGGAAUAGAUUUCCGGUAAGGUUGAAAAGGCGGUUUAAGAGACCACCGCGAGGCUGGCAACAGUCUCGGCUAGGUAAACCCUAUCCGAUGCAAGACCAAGUUAGGAGAGCUUUAAGUUUCUUAAAGUUACGAAGGGGAGUUUCCAACCCGCUCCAGAGGUAGGUCGCGACGAGCGUAAAGGCAACUUUGCGCCCAGAUGAAUAGCUAUCGUUUCAAAUCUUGCCUUGCGCAAGCAAAUGAAAUACAGAACCCGGCUUAUAGACUGUCUGC